Molecule: ribosomal RNA, 253 nt
Filed under: uncultured bacterium
Lineage: Bacteria
Description: partial 16S ribosomal RNA
Rfam family: Bacterial small subunit ribosomal RNA
Source: RNAcentral
CACGUAGGGCGCAAGCGUUGUCCGGAAUUAUUGGGCGUAAAGAGCUCGUAGGCGGUCUGUUGCGUCCGCUGUGAAAUCUCGGGGCUUAACCCCGAGCCUGCAGUGGAUACGGGCAGACUAGAGGUAGGUAGGGGAGAAUGGAAUUCCCGGUGUAGCGGUGAAAUGCGCAGAUAUCGGGAGGAACACCGGUGGCGAAGGCGGCAUCCUGGACCAAUACUGACGCUGAGGAGCGAAAGCCAGGGGAGCAAACGGG